GGGUGAUAUCUCAUAACCCUUAUCAAGUGAGGUACUCGGUUGUGCUGUGGGUGUGAAGCCUUGCACCUUAGACGCUGGUCGUCAGAGGCAGAAUGUGAGGGCGGGUUCGAUGCCCG
Regulatory RNA element from Bacillus gobiensis, 116 nucleotides. It matches the Rfam family "epsC RNA". The record is from Rfam. NCBI's taxonomy places the organism in Bacteria, Bacillati, Bacillota, Bacilli, Caryophanales, Bacillaceae.